CCGACCGCCCGCCGUCUCCAGCACACCGUCACCGUGGUAGCAAGGGUGCUUCCCUGUCUCCUUCAUCCUCCUGCAUCCCCGAUGCUUAGCCCCCAAGCACUUCUAACCCUAGCUUGUGCGCUGGAGUUUGGGGAGAGGCCAAGGUGCAGUGGUGGAUGCCGCCGUCCCUCUCAGAUCCGGGGCUGAGAGAGAGAGAGAGAGGUGGGUAACCUGCGAGAGAGAGUACUCGCACCCUCGCUUGUCACCCAGGCGCCGUCACCAUCGCUGCCACGGCAUGGGCUUCCUCCGAUCUGCACCCGCCGGUUCGUUUGAAGAAGGAUCUGGCCGUUGACUGUUGGUGCUUCCCCUCCCCCGACGAUCUGCCAUAACUUGGGAUAGUACUUCUAUCCAGCAAGCAGCGCUUCGGCUGGGAGCUCAAGCUCAAGCAUAACGUCCGAAAAAAGGGCUCUAUCUGCUAAUGGGGUAGCCGGCAAUGCAGUCUAAGGGCUGGCUACUACUCAUCUGAUUUCUGGAUAUGAGAGGAUGAGAACUUGAGAAGAACAAGCUUGAUGCUAUGAUUGCGAAAAAACAUGUACUACAGGUGAGAGUUGAGACACGCCAUACACAGGCUCUGCAAGAUGGCGGAAAUAGACCUCUUCGUCGAUGACUUCUACGAGGACGAUAUUGACCUAGAGGCUGGAGCUUUGCUACUCUUUCCGACUAACAACAAGGUAUCGUUUACUUUUUCUCUCCCCACAUACAAUCCUUCCCUGUUCCUGUCCCCCCUGCUUAUUUCUUGCUAUAGGGCAACACACUGCAAGUGUUUGUUAAAUUGUUAGUCUCAAUGCUCCAAUUCUGGCAGAAGGAUUUAAGGUAGGAAGACAUAGCACCAACCAAGGAUUUUCGGUAGGAAGACAUAACAUCACUCAUGGUUAUAUGGAUUUAAUGUUGUAUUUCUGUAUUUUUGCAAAAUUACUUCUGUGAAGCUUGUAGAUUAUUUCAGUUCUUCAGUUGUUUUACACUUAGGCUUGUAUUAACUUGCAACUUCUUUUCUCCAUAAUUUUGCAACAAUAGUUCUGUAGUACUUGGUACAGUUUUUCUGGAAUCAUGAUAAAAUACACAUAUAUCUAGCCGUUUGUAUUUCGACAGCACUGCUUCUAAAGAUUUUAGAGUUUUAUUUUCACUAUAAAUUUGCUUUAGUAGUUCUGUAAAUUCCAGAAUAUUUCAGUUAAGGGGUUCUACUCUUAGGCUUGUAUAGACUUACAACAUCUUUUAUUUGCAAUUUUGCAAUGAGAAUGGUUUCACAACUGUAGAUAGUUCAGCUUUAUAAGGCCAUUGUAUCCAUGAAGAAAUUUGUUAUUUAUUUCUGAAUACAUCUCGUACCAUUUAUCUGUACAUUGUAGAGCAACUCAUAUUGGUGUAGCGAUGCAUUUUAAGAUAUGGCAUGAAGCUAGCUAAUGGAUUUUAUUAUUUCUAGCAGCAUGUGAUUCACUGAACAAAAAAAGGACUGCACUCACAUAUGAAAUGCUUGCAAGUUUUAGAAAAAUGAAGCAAAGGACAAGUGGUGUAGGUAAGGGCUUUAAUUUGUUAGUACUCCACUUGCUAUGCAUCAAGAUUCAAUCAAGUAGGAUUCCCAGUGUAUUUGCAGUUUUUACAUAGUGUUUUGCAUGUGAAUUGUGGUCACUACUGUCAAUCCAUGGAAAGUUAAAUGUAUAGUGA
This is a long non-coding RNA of Triticum aestivum (bread wheat), 1698 nucleotides long. RefSeq lists it as uncharacterized. The transcript is spliced from 3 exons. NCBI's taxonomy places the organism in Eukaryota, Viridiplantae, Streptophyta, Magnoliopsida, Poales, Poaceae. The record is from RefSeq and is a predicted model, not a curated record.